This 1441-nucleotide ribosomal RNA is filed under the name uncultured bacterium. Its description in RNAcentral is "partial 16S ribosomal RNA". It matches the Rfam family "Bacterial small subunit ribosomal RNA". The record is from RNAcentral.
GAUUAACGCUGGCGGCAUGCCUAAUACAUGCAAAUCGAACGAAGCCUUUUUGGCUUAGUGGUGAACGGGUGAGUAACACGUAUCCAAUCUACCCUUAAGUUUGGGAUAACUAGUCGAAAGAUUAGCUAAUACCGGAUAAUAACAUUUACUUGCAUGAGUGAAUGUAGAAAGUUGCGUUUGCAACGCUUUUGGAUGAGGGUGCGACGUAUCAGAUAGUUGGUGAGGUAACGGCUCACCAAGUCAUUGACGCGUAGCUGUACUGAGAGGUAGAACAGCCACAAUGGGACUGAGACACGGCCCAUACUCCUACGGGAGGCAGCAGUAGGGAAUUUCUCACAAUGGGCGAAAGCCUUAUGAAGCAAUGCCGCGUGAACGAUGAAGGUCUAUAAGAUUGUAAAGUUCUUUUAUUUGGGAAGAACCACUAAAAUAGGAAAUGAUUUUAGUUUGACUGUACCAUUUGAAUAAGUAUCGGCUAACUAUGUGCCAGCAGCCGCGGUAAUACAUAGGAUGCAAGCGCUAUCCGGAUUUACUGGGCGUAAAACGAGCGCAGGCGGAUUUGUAAGUUUGGUAUGAAAUCUAGAUGCUUAACGUCUAGCUGUAUCAAAAACUACGAAUCUAGAGUGUAGCAGAGAGUUGGGGAACUCCAUGUGGAGCGGUAAAAUGCGUAGAUAUAUGGAAGAACACCGGUGGCGAAGGCGCCAACUUGGACUAUUACUGACGCUUAGGCUCGAAAGUGUGGGGAGCAAAUAGGAUUAGAUACCCUAGUAGUCCACACCGUAAACGAUCAUCAUUAAAUGUCGGCUCGCUUAUGAGUCGGUGUUGUAGCUAACGCAUUAAAUGAUGUGCCUGGGUAGUACAUUCGCAAGAAUGAAACUCAAACGGAAUUGACGGGGACCCGCACAAGUGGUGGAGCAUGUUGCUUAAUUUGACAAUACACGUAGAACCUUACCUAGGUUUGACAUCUAUUGCAAUGCUAUAGAAAUAUAGCGGAGGUUAACAAUAUGACAGGUGGGUGCAUGGGUUGUCGUCAGCUCGUGUCGUGAGAUGUUGGGUUAAGUCCCCGCAACGAGCGCAACCCCUUUCGCUAGUUAAUUUAUCUAUCGAUACUGCUACCGCAAGGUAGAGGAAGGUGGGGAUGACGUCAAAUCAUUAUGCCCCUUAUAUCUAGGGCUGCAAACGUGCUACAAUGGCUAAUACAAACAGCUGCAAUACCGUAAGGUGGAGCGAAUCUGAUAAAGUUAGUCUCAGUUCGGAUAGAGGGCUGCAAUUCGCCCUCUUGAAGUUGGAAUCACUAGUAAUCGCGAAUCAGACAUGUCGCGGUGAAUACGUUCUCGGGUCUUGUACACACCGCCCGUCAAACUAUGGGAGCCGGUAAUAUCUGAAACCGUACUGUUAACCUUUUUGGAGGCAUACGUCUAGGGUAGGAUUGGUGACUGGAGUU